UUGGUAUGAAAUUACAGUCCUCUGGCUAUACUUAUAUUUCAAAGUGCUUGAUAUCCAGAUGAGAUUAUAAUUAUUAAGCUCACUACUCCCACUACAAUACUGAUAUAAAUGAUCUUCUCUGCUGGGUGCUCAACAACUGAAGCUUGGAGACCAGAACUAGAAGAAGCUGUAACCUCCAUAGAUUUCAAGGGUAUGAAAGGUCCUGAGACUACACUGUUGGAACGACUGCAUCACACCACUCUGCGCUCCCAGAGGUAGACAGGAGGGAGAAGCAUCUUUCCACUUUAUCCACGUUACCCAUUGUUGUUACUGAUUUAUUUUUAAAUCCAACUUGGCUUCUCCCCUGAAAACUGUUGAGAAGUAAAGAAAACUGACCAUAGCUUCCUGAAGUCAAAGCACCUAAAACAAAGAGAAGGCCAUGGAAGUGAGUAAGGGGCUUCUCCAAGACUGCAAGGUCACCCAAGGUCCCUACCGUCCAUGCUGCUGAGAAGCUGCCAGUUUCUUCUUUGCUUGGUUGGUCUCACAACCAACCACCCACUCCCACCCACUAUACCUCAACACCCAACCUGGAGAGGUGUUGUUCUCUGGGUCCUGAAAACACUAAGGGAAGCUGGGAGUAGGGGGCACAUGCCUGUAAUCCCACCACUUGGGAGGCUGAGGCAGGAAGAUGGUGAGUUCCAGGCCUGGAUUGCAUAGAAAGACUAUGUCUCAAAACACACACACACACACACACAUGGGGACUCACUACGGCUUUGGACUGACCCACCCCCGACCUCUCUGGGAUGAUGGCGCAGGGAAGAGCACCCUCAGUCUGUGGUACACUAGCCCCUGUUCUUGGGUUGGGGCUCAGAUGAAAAGCGAAGGUCACUUUUCUAGGCCUGAAGAGGAAAUGUAAAUCUCUCCCAGCCCACGUGGCAGAAGCUGCCAGAAGGCCAUUGCCCUGUUAGUAAACAGGGCUGCCUGGGCCAUCUUUCUCUUUUGUAAUAACCUGCAGGGCACCUAUUGAUUGCACGUGCUGGUCCCUCAUAAGUGAGGACAGGGCUGUCUUCCGGUUGCUCUGGAGCUGUGAGGGUGCCUAAAUUGGCUGACUAAUACUGCAUGCUCAUGGAGCACAGUGUCCUGUGCCACCUAAACAUGAAGAAUAUGUAUCAUCAGGCGCCGUGAGAGUGCAGGCCCCAACUCCAGCGGCUUCAAGGCUUCCGGGCGUGCUGCAGACUGCAAUUAGGCAGUUUGCUUGCCUCCUCCCGAGAGGAAAGAACACUGAUGUGGCUCCUGCUGCAGCCUGAGCUACUUUAAGAUGGAGGGAGCGGCAGGUCUUGGAGGGUGGGCAAUGGGCCAGCUCCUCACCUCAGCUACCCCCUCAGCAGGAAUGGCAGCCAGCAAAUAGAAACCAACCCACAUCUUUUAGCCUGUGGUGGACAGAGUUAUGACUCAAAAGACACGUUCAAAACCCCCACUUCGGCCACUUUUGGCUGUGUGAUAUUAGUGGCUUAACCUCUCUGAGCCUCAGCAUCUCAUCUGGAAAGUUGAGAAAAUAAUAUUUCCUUAAUUGUUCAUGUGGUUAGGCCUGCCUGGAACCCAGUAUCCUCUCAUAAAUACCGGCACUGAGUCAAAAGCAGCUGAACACAGCAGUAGGUACCGGACUGAAACUACUUUUCCUUUCCACCCCUGAAAUCUGGCACCAGGAACUUUUCAGUGCUAUUGCCAGGCAAUGCCUUGCUAUCUAAGAAGUGAGGCCAGGAAACUCCUGGCUUGAUAAAUUGGAAUUAUCUCUCCCAUCCCUUUCAUCUUUCUGUGCCCCUCCUGACCUAGCUUCUGAAUUUAACAUUGAUUCCACAGGGAAUGUCACUAAAAUGUAUCGUGAACACAGAGAAGCAUGGCACCAUAGCUUACCCUUCUAAAAGAAAACCUUGGCACCCGCAGGCCCACCCUGGGCAGAGCCUUCAGAGCGUCUCUAACUCUGGCCCUGGACAAUGGGCUCUAUGAGUAGCACUGUCCUUGCAGCUCACUUGUGGCUCCUUUGUUGAUGUUGCCACAAUCAAAGCCGAUGAAAGGACGGUGUGAAGAGCCAUAUUUCCAUAUUUUCCUCCUGGUCCUGGAAAUGACAUCUACUGCCUUGGGACGGAGGGUACAGUGGGUGAAUGGUGCCCCCCAAAUAUAUGAUCACACGGGGACCCUGUGAGUGUGAUCUUCUUUGGGCAAAGGGUCUUUACAGAUGUGAUUAAAUCAGCAUCUUGAGCUGCCAUUGUUCUAAAUUACCUGGGGUGGGCAGGCGGCGUAAAUGGAGUGACAAGGGUCCCUUGAGACAGAAGAGGGACUGGCACAGAGAGAAGCUCAGGAGAAGAUGAUGGAGAUGCAGCCUGGAGUGAAGCAGCCCCAGUCAAGGCUUCCUGGGCCAUCAGGAGCGGGGGGGGGGGGGGCAGAGGAAGACUGUCUGGAGAGCCUUUGGAAGGAGGGAGUGUGGCCCUGCUGACACCUGGGUUUGGGACUCUGGCUUCUACAAUUGGGAGAGGAUGAAUUUCUAUUACUUUAGGCUACUGCUGAGGCUUAGAUACGGUUUUUCUCCAAAAGCUCAUGUGCCCGAGACUUGGUCCCUGAUGUCCUGGUAUUGAGGUGUUGAUGACUUUCAGAAGGGUGAUUAGCCAGGGGCAGCACCCUCAGAAAGACCGGCUUGGUUACCCUCAUAGGGGAUUGAUAAAAACGAAUGUGGCUUUCUUUUUUGUUGUUGUUUUUUUGAGACAGGAACUCACUAUGUAGUUCAGGCUGGUCUAGACUCACUAUGUAGCCCAUGCUGGCUUCAAACUCAUGGCAAUCCUCCUGCCUCAGCCUCCUGAGUGCUGGCAUUACGGGGAUGCACCACUAUGCCUGGCUUCUUCUCUCAGCAUAUGACCUCUCCUGCCUGUGCUGCUGCCCUGUGAUGCCAUCUGCCCAGAAGCUGAGGCUACACAAUGCCACACACUUGGACCUCCAGAACUGUAAGCUAAAUAAACCUCCUUAUUUUCUUUAUGAAGGAAGGUAUCUUAUGAUACGAACAAGGUAUCUUGUUAUAGCAACACACAGUGGACUGAGAGCCACCAAGCUUGUGGUCGUCUGUGAUGGCGGCUCUACUCCAGCAUGCUCCUGGGGUGGGACACAGCUCAAGGUCAUCUUCCACGGGUGAUGUUUUCCCUGUCUGUGGCAGGACUUACCUGAACAACAGCCUCAGCUGGCCUGGCCUGCAAUCCAGGAGCCGCAGACAACCAGAUAGGAGUGUGGCUGAGGAUCUGCCUGGGACAGAGCCUUCUGAAAUGCUGGAAACAGGCUCCAUCUUAGAACUAGACAGACUGAUGUUGAAAUCCCAACACUGACUGACUCUGAGGCCUCUCUGCCUUUCAAGUCCCUCAUCAAUAAAGCGAGGAAAUAAUGUUUACCUUGUAGGCAAGAGCAGGUCCAGCAUCCAAAGCUUACAGAAUUUGGGUGACACUUUAAAAGAGAAAGAAUACAACGAUUUAAAUCCAAAGUUAGGGAAGGAGUCUUGGGAGGCCCUGUAUAAGUUCGGGCCCCUGAGGUGUAAGUCAGGCCCACUCUGUUCAUUGGUGCUCAGAGAAUCACAGGUGAAAACAGGGAGCACAAGGCAGAGCCUGGAUCCUGCUGAGAGCUCUGUAAGAGACAAAAGUUGUCAGCUGGGCGUGGUGGUGCACGCCUGUAAUUCCAGCGCUUGGGCGGCUGAGGCAGGAGGAUCACUUCAAGUGAGUUCUCUGUCUCCAAAAAAAAAAGAAAAGAAAAGAAAAAGAAAGUAUGGAGAUAUGUGUGGAACACAGAAGAAACUCUGAAGGAUACAUUCCAUAGAGACUGCAGUUGUUGCUCUCUUGUCUCUUUUCCCUUCCUUUUGGUAACAGGAAACUGACUUCUAGGACGAUGGCUGUGUGCUCAGCUAAAGCCACCUGUCCCAGCUUCUCUCACAGCUGGGUGUAGCCAUGAGACUAAAUUUUGGCCAAGGAAGUAUAAACAAAGCGUGAUGGCUGAAAUCCAGCUUCCCCAGAGUUCACAGAGGAAGCGCUCACCUCGUGCUCAGAGUGUGGCCCUAACGGAAAGAGGGUCCCUGAGGACAUUAACCGAGGGGAUGGGGGACUCACAUCCCACAUGAAUAAUGGCCUAAUGAAAAGGGGAAAUUAAGACGCGCACGCGCACGGAGAGCGCUGCGUGAAGAUGGGGCAGAGACCAGCAGCUACUUCUACAAAUCCAGGGACCUCAAAGGCUGUCGCAGAAGUCAGGAGAGGCAGCAGUGCUCAGAAGGCACCAAUCCUGGGUUGCCAGCCUCCAGACUGAGAGAAGGGCGACAGUUUCUGUCAUGUAAGCCGAUCGGGUGCGGCACUUUGUUACCGCAGCCCUAGAAAACGAAUGCAGACAGAUAACGUUCUUCUUCAACCAGCAGACGGAGACCGGUAUCGCAAAUGGCAGACAGAGUGCAAGGAGGAACCCGGGACCCCAAAAACCUCAGGGAGCUGUCACAUUACUCUUGCACUGCCUACCCCGGGGCUUAUUUUCUAGAAAAAUAAACUUAAGCUUUUGUUAUUGUUUUAUUUGGUUUUUGAAAUAUACGAUUUUGAUAAAUUACUCUUUGAGGGGAGGGCUUGGAAUUGAAAUAUCAGUGAAGAAUUUUUGCUUUACCUGUAACGUUUCAAUUCUGAUUUCAAGGAUAUAUUUAGGUAUUCUUUUGUAACUAAAAUAAAAUUAUUUCAUAAAUUACAUGA
This is a long non-coding RNA of Heterocephalus glaber (naked mole-rat), 4733 nucleotides long. The record is from Ensembl. Lineage: Eukaryota; Metazoa; Chordata; Mammalia; Rodentia; Bathyergidae.